RNAcentral lists this ribosomal RNA (460 nucleotides) under uncultured bacterium. RNAcentral's name for it is "partial 16S ribosomal RNA". It matches the Rfam family "Bacterial small subunit ribosomal RNA", at positions 338 to 795 of the family's 1533-position model. The record is from RNAcentral.
CCUACGGGAGGCAGCAGUGAGGAAUAUUGGUCAAUGGACGAGAGUCUGAACCAGCCAAGUAGCGUGAAGGAUGACUGCCCUAUGGGUUGUAAACUUCUUUUAUAUGGGAAUAAAACGUUCCACGUGUGGGAUUUUGUAUGUACCAUAUGAAUAAGGAUCGGCUAACUCCGUGCCAGCAGCCGCGGUAAUACGGAGGAUCCGAGCGUUAUCCGGAUUUAUUGGGUUUAAAGGGAGAGUAGGUGGAUUGUUAAGUCAGUUGUGAAAGUUUGCGGCUCAACCGUAAAAUUGCAGUUGAAACUGGCAGUCUUGAGUACAGUAGAGGUGGGCGGAAUUCGUGGUGUAGCGGUGAAAUGCUUAGAUAUCACGAAGAACUCCGAUUGCGAAGGCAGUUCACUGGACUGCAACUGACACUGAGGCGCGAAAGUGUGGGUAUCAAACAGGAUUAGAUACCCUGGUAGUC